AUUGAACGCUGGCGGCAUGCCUUACACAUGCAAGCCGAACGGCAGCACGGGGCAACCUGGUGGCGAGUGGCGAACGGGUGAGUAAUGCAUCGGAACGUGCCAUUGAGUGGGGGAUAACGUAGCGAAAGUUGCGCUAAUACCGCAUAUUCUGUGAGCAGGAAAGCAGGGGACCGCAAGGCCUUGCGCUCUUUGAGCGGCCGAUGUCAGAUUAGCUAGUUGGUGAGGUAACGGCUUACCAAGGCGACGAUCUGUAGCGGGUCUGAGAGGAUGAUCCGCCACACUGGAACUGAGACACGGUCCAGACUCCUACGGGAGGCAGCAGUGGGGAAUUUUGGACAAUGGGCGCAAGCCUGAUCCAGCCAUGCCGCGUGAGUGAAGAAGGCCU
This 385-nucleotide ribosomal RNA is filed under the name uncultured bacterium. Its description in RNAcentral is "bacterial SSU rRNA". It matches the Rfam family "Bacterial small subunit ribosomal RNA", at positions 30 to 417 of the family's 1533-position model. The record is from RNAcentral.